This 253-nucleotide ribosomal RNA is filed under the name uncultured bacterium. RNAcentral describes it as "partial 16S ribosomal RNA". It matches the Rfam family "Bacterial small subunit ribosomal RNA", at positions 524 to 776 of the family's 1533-position model. The record is from RNAcentral.
UACGGGGGGGGCAAGCGUUGUUCGGAAUUACUGGGCGUAAAGGGCUCGUAGGCGGCCAACUAAGUCGGACGUGAAAUCCCCAGGCUCAACCUGGGAACUGCGUCCGAUACUGGAUGGCUUGAAUUCGGGAGAGGGAUGCAGAAUUCCAGGUGUAGCGGUGAAAUGCGAAGAUAUCUGGAGGAAUACCGGUGGCGAAGGCGGCAUCCUGGACCGACAUUGACGCUGAGGAGCGAAAGCUAGGGGAGCAAACGGG